Non-coding RNA from Podarcis lilfordi (Lilford's wall lizard), 2281 nucleotides. Lineage: Eukaryota; Metazoa; Chordata; Lepidosauria; Squamata; Lacertidae. The record is from the annotation of a GenBank genome assembly.
AGGUACCGCUCUGGCGGGAAGGUAAACGGCGUUUCCGUGCUCUGCUCUGGUUCGCCAGAAGUGGCUCAGUCAUGCUGGCCACAUGACCCGGAAGCUGUACGCCGGCCCCCUCGGCCAAUAAAGCGAGAUGAGUGCCGCAACCCCAGAGUCGGCCACGACUGGACCUAAUGGUCAGGGGUCCCUUUACCUUUACCUUUACCCAAGUACUAUCUGAAACCAAAGGGGCACAUGGGUUGCCAGAUGUGAUUCCACCCCCACCCCCUGCUCUCCUACCCAACUAAAGGUGUUGUUCUUCUUUUGUAAAUCAUCUCUGAAAGAAAAACAAAAACAAAACAGUCAUCCUGGUUCCCCUGACCUUUCUCCUGCGCUCAGGAGACCAGAUCAAUAAAUUUCACAAGUGCUGAGCCAGGGGGAAGGAAAGGCCAUAGCCAAAGCUUCCCACUCUAAUGAGAUGGGUGUCCUUUCGUGUGCCAAUGCUGCCCAGAGAAUCAGUUCGUUGUUUGUUCUGAGCGCCAUACUUGUUAGCAUUGGGGAAUCGGCUGGAUUUGAAGCAGUUUAACCUUUUGAGAGUUUUGACUAGGCUGGGCCUUUGCAAGAGGGGAGACAGGUAUAUCAAGGUGAUAGCGUUCGUAUUGAUCAGGGAGGAGAGGUGGUUGGUCAUUUUGCAUCCAAAAUGCAAUGCACAUGGUGCUAAUAGGCGUUAUAAAAUCUUUAUCGCAGGCGGUAUCUGUCUUGGAUUUGAGAUGGUUUUAUGCAUGCGCAGCUGUACACUGUUUUUAUUGCUGUGAUUGUUCUUAUUGUAGGUUGUUUUUAUGCAGUGCUUUUUUCCUGGGGUACACAGAACUGGCACUUUUCUUCUUAAAAGAAAAGCACUGGUUAAAAAUGUGACAACAUGGUGAGUACCGGCACAUUUUUUCCUCUCUCUCCCCCCAAAUUAUUUUUAUUAGUUCUCCAAAUUAUUGCAAAUCAAACUAAAUCACUUUAAUUUAAUACAAUUUCUUUUUUAAAAACCAGGUUUCCUGCUCCUGUUGCAAACAGGUUUCCUCCUGUAGCUGCAUCAUGUCUUCUUUAAUAUCCAUUUGAUCCUUCCCUUGUUGUUAGUCCAUUCUUACAGCUCAUUUUUUUCCUAGAAGGAAAGUACUGAUGGGGUGAGCAGGAGCAAAGUUUAGCUUUGGAGGGGGGAGCCGAGUUGGGAGCUAAUGUGUGUGUAGGGAGAGGGUUGAGAGUGAAGCAGGGGUGGUUGUUUUUCCCCAGCCAGAGCUCACCUGAACUCAGUUCUGGCAACCUCAGAGGUGGACGCCAUUGCCAUUAUAAGAGAACAAGAGAGGUGUACACGGUGAGUUCCAGCACAUCUUUUUUUUUCUGGAAAAAAUAGCACGGCUUUUAUGUAUGCAAUUGUUUUAUCUGCUUCUAUAGAUGCUGUUGUUUUUGUCCAUGGAGUUUUCUUGGCAGGGAUACUGGAGUGGCUUGCCGGUUCCUGCUCCAGGUGGAUCACGUUUAGUCAAAACUCUCCACUAUGACCUGUCCAUCUUGGGUGGCCCUGCACGGCAUAGCUCAUAGCUUCUCUGAGUUAUUCAAGCCCCUUCACCACAACAAGGCAGUGAUCCAUGAGAAGAGAAGACUCCCUGGAAAAGACCCUGAUGUUGGGAAAGAUGGAGGGCACAAGGAGAAGUGGAUGACAGAGGACGAGAUGGUUGGACAGUGUUCUCGAAGCUACUAACAUGAGUCUGAUCAUGGUCCAUGGGGUCACGAAGAGUUGGACACGACUAAACGACUAAACAACAACAACAUAGAUGCUGUUACAUUGCAAAUCACUUUAGGUAAUGAUAUUAGGUGACAUCAGGUGUUUGGGAGCAGGGAAAGACUCAGCUGCAAAUGAACAAACAGAAGAGUUGACUGUGAGUUGUUCCGUGCAAGAAGGACCCACCGUCAGUGUUGAUGGGCACUUAAAGCAAGCCCCAUGGAAGUUGUACAUUUUCAGAUAGGGUUUGAAUUUAAGCCACACACACACACACACACACACACCUUUUUAAAUUAAAUUUUCUAAUUUACAUUUCCAAAUAUUCAUUUAAACAACCUUAAAUCAGUGACUUCCCUUCUUCUUUUUCCGUAGUUCAUCGUGACUAUCAAACGUCCCUGCAUAUUUUACAAGAACCAAACCAUUCAGUAUACCAUUGUUACAUCCAUCAAAACCUAUUUACACUGCUGAAUUUGUCUUAAUGCUACCAGCCUUUUUAAAUGAACACAAUUUUCACCCAUAUAUUCAGUAAACAUCUUCCAG